AUGGGGUGCAGCNGGCGCGAAACCUCCGCUAUGCGCGAAAGCGCGACGGGGUCACUCCGAGUGCCGACCGCUGAGGUCGGCUUUUGCCCNGUCCAAAAGGCUGGGCGAAUAAGGGGAGGGCAAGUUUGGUGUCAGCCGCCGCGGUAAUACCAACUCCCCGAGUGGUCGGGACGGUUAUUGGGCUUAAAGCGUCCGUAGCCGGCCUGGCAAGUUCCCGGUUAAAUCCGGCGUCUCAAGCGCCGGGCUGCCGGGAAGACUGCUAGGCUAGGGAGCGGGAGAGGCGGGCGGUAUUCCCUGGGUAGGGGUAAAAUCCUCAGAUCCAGGGAGGACCAUCAGUGGCGAAGGCGGCCCGCUAGAACGCGUCCGACGGUGAGGGACGAAAGCUGGGGGAGCGAUCCGGAUUAGAUACCCGGGUAGUCCCAGCCGUAAACGAUGCAGGCUAGGUGUGUGGGUGGCUUCGAGCUACCCAUGUGCCGAAGGGAAACCGUUAAGCCUGCCGCCUGGGGAGUACGGCCGCAAGGCUGAAACUUAAAGGAAUUGGCGGGGGAGCAC
This 552-nucleotide ribosomal RNA is filed under the name uncultured crenarchaeote. Its description in RNAcentral is "bacterial SSU rRNA". It matches the Rfam family "Archaeal small subunit ribosomal RNA", at positions 325 to 879 of the family's 1478-position model. Lineage: Archaea; Thermoproteati; Thermoproteota. The record is from RNAcentral.